This 644-nucleotide small RNA is filed under the name Porites compressa. Its description in RNAcentral is "eukaryotic LSU rRNA". The stretch from base 239 to 392 matches the Rfam family "5.8S ribosomal RNA". The record is from RNAcentral. Lineage: Eukaryota; Metazoa; Cnidaria; Anthozoa; Scleractinia; Poritidae.
GGUGAACCUGCGGAAGGAUCAUUACCGAUGUGAAAAAUCCAAGGUUAAACAUCAUUAACCAGUGUGAACUGUACAACAACUCUUUAGGGGUCGGCACAGGCGCGUGUCGUUAAAUGGCGGAUAGGUUCCUUCCGCCAGCCCCGCCAUUGUGUUUAUUAUAUCACUUUGAACGUUAAAGACUGAGAACUAUGUAUCAUGCAUUAAAUGUAUGAGAAAGAAGGAAAGAAAAAUGAGAGACAACUUUUGACGGUGGAUCUCUUGGCUCACGUAUCGAUGAAGAACGCAGCCAGCUGCGAUAUGUAGUGUGAAUUGCAGAAUUCAGUGAAUCAUUGAAUCUUUGAACGCAAAUGGCGCUCUUGGGUUCUCCCAGGAGCAUGUCUGUCUGAGUGUCGGAUUUUAUCGAACGCACUCGUGAGUGCGGUAUUGAGGUGUCACGGCGUGUUAGCAAGCAAGCAUUAAAUCGCCGUGUCCCUUGAAGGACAGCAGCAUUGGACUCGCAUUCUCUAUUGAAACUUGAGUGCGAAGGCUAAAGAUAAUAUUUUCCUUCGCCCAAACAUACAAUAGCAGAAACAAAGUCCAAUCAAAGCGGUGACAGACAAUAAACAUCAAAUCUUGACCUCAGAUCAGGCAAGGCUACCCGCUGA